Small nuclear RNA from Phacochoerus africanus (Common warthog), 107 nucleotides. Lineage: Eukaryota; Metazoa; Chordata; Mammalia; Artiodactyla; Suidae. The record is from RefSeq and is a predicted model, not a curated record.
GUGUUCACUUUGGCAGCAUAUAUACUAAAAUUGGAACCAUAUGAAGAAGAUUGGCAUGGCCCCUGCGCAAGGAUGACAUGCAAAUUUGUGAAGCACUACAUAUUUUU